This is a long non-coding RNA of Papilio xuthus (Asian swallowtail), 491 nucleotides long. RefSeq lists it as uncharacterized. NCBI's taxonomy places the organism in Eukaryota, Metazoa, Arthropoda, Insecta, Lepidoptera, Papilionidae. The record is from RefSeq and is a predicted model, not a curated record. The transcript has 2 exons.
AAGCAUAUUCUAGUUUCUCAGUUUUCUUGCAGCACGCAUUCGUCUGCUUGUGAAUAAAAAGUAUCAAAAAUUGUAUUAUACGUUUUUGUUAUAAAAUGUGUUGUUCUUUGGUUAUACAAAAUGUGUUUUUCAUUUCGGCAAUAGUGAUCUUAAUACUCAAUUUAGUUUUCAUUGGUUUGUCUGUUAUUUUCACUUUGAAGAAUAAAGAAAUGGAAAAGGCCAGUCCUCGAGAAUCCCUGUCUCCGUCGACCCUCCAAUGGAGGGAUGGACCUCGUGCCGGCAGUGUACCACAAGUCUUAAUGUACCAGGCGCUGGUACGAGUUAGUGUUGGAUCCAGACAAAAUUAAAUUUGCUUACUCAUUACUUUUCAAUUGGAUGAUAACUGUCAAUAAAACCUGUGAUGUGUUACAUUUCAAAUUUUUUGGUACUUAUUUUAUAAUUUAUAAUAUUGUAUAAAUCUUAUAAAUAAAUCCGAAUUCGUACAAAAAGUC